CAGCCGCCACGGGAAUACGGAGGGUGCAAGCGUUAUCCGGAUUUAUUGGGUUUAAAGGGUCCGUAGGCGGAUCUGUAAGUCAGUGGUGAAAUCUCACAGCUUAACUGUGAAACUGCCAUUGAUACUGCAGGUCUUGAGUAAAUUUGAAGUGGCUGGAAUAAGUAGUGUAGAGGUGAAAUGCAUAGAUAUUACUUAGAACACCAAUUGCGAAGGCAGGUCACUAAGAUUUAACUGACGCUGAUGGACGAAAGCGUGGGGAGCGAACAGGAUUAGAUACCCCUGUAGUCCCUGUCUCUUAUAC
RNAcentral lists this ribosomal RNA (301 nucleotides) under uncultured bacterium. RNAcentral describes it as "partial 16S ribosomal RNA". It matches the Rfam family "Bacterial small subunit ribosomal RNA", at positions 509 to 807 of the family's 1533-position model. The record is from RNAcentral.